This 253-nucleotide ribosomal RNA is filed under the name uncultured bacterium. Its description in RNAcentral is "partial 16S ribosomal RNA". It matches the Rfam family "Bacterial small subunit ribosomal RNA", at positions 524 to 776 of the family's 1533-position model. The record is from RNAcentral.
UACGUAGGGUGCGAGCGUUGUCCGGAAUUAUUGGGCGUAAAGAGCUUGUAGGCGGUUUGUCGCGUCUGCUGUGAAAAUCCGGGGCUCAACCCCGGACUUGCAGUGGGUACGGGCAGACUAGAGUGUGGUAGGGGAGACUGGAAUUCCUGGUGUAGCGGUGAAAUGCGCAGAUAUCAGGAGGAACACCGAUGGCGAAGGCAGGUCUCUGGGCAGUAACUGACGCUGAGGAGCGAAAGCGUGGGGAGCGAACAGG